AAAUAAUAUGACUAAUAAAAAAAAUAGUUCCCUUAAAGUUGGAUGAUGAUACUGUGGUGUUCUGUAAAGCUAAUUUGUAGCAGGUUGGAAAUAGCAAGGUUCUCUUAUUUUAGAUUUCAUGGUUGUCUAUUAAUAGCUCCAAAUAUUCUCUAGUUCUAACGGGCUCGGAUUGGGAUGCUAGAAUUUAGCUAUGCCUCUUUACUUGAAUGUGAAGUUAGACUGUUUAGCUAUCAAAUACUUGCGUCUUCCUUCUAGACCAGGUAAAUUACUCAAGACUAAUUGGUUGCCAAUCAUUGUUAGAGCGAAUGGAAAUUGUCUUGAUGAAAGAGUUGAGCUUUAUCUAUUGGUGGCUGGUGUACUCUUUGUCAAUUUAGUUGAAUUGCUAGUAUCCCACGGAGUGGAUAGUGAAGAACUAUAAUGACUAACACAUGUACUUGCCCUCAUCUACACCUAACAUCUGAGAGAUCUAGUCAGCUCCAGUAUU
RNAcentral lists this long non-coding RNA (484 nucleotides) under Elaeis guineensis (African oil palm). Its description in RNAcentral is "long non-coding RNA (EGUI_LNC081086)". The record is from RNAcentral. Lineage: Eukaryota; Viridiplantae; Streptophyta; Magnoliopsida; Arecales; Arecaceae.